Molecule: long non-coding RNA, 11150 nt
Organism: Musa acuminata AAA Group (dessert banana)
Lineage: Eukaryota; Viridiplantae; Streptophyta; Magnoliopsida; Zingiberales; Musaceae
Exons: 3
Source: RefSeq, a predicted model, not a curated record
UGCCCUUAAAUACGACCUUUGUUUUGGUUGUGGCAAUGCGUCGUUACGCGUCUGCGGUGUCCUUUAAGUGGAUCCUCAGCCAUCCGUAAUCGAUGAUUUCGUUUUCGGAUUGGACGAUCCGUCGAUCGUUGAUUUCGUUUUCGGAUUGGAUGAUCUGUUUCCGAUAGGUGGUCCAUCCAAAUCCUCAGCCAUCCCUUAAUCGUUGAUUUCGUUGACGAAUGGGAUGUUCUGUUCUCGGCACUUGAAACAGAUCUACUUUCCAUGCGGGGUGUAUCAAAAGCCUUUUGUUCAUGUGGCUUUCGUUUUCGGGGACUUAGACAUUGGUCUUGAACGAAUCGGGUGAUCUAUUGUCAAUCGCUGCGGAUCGGAACCGUUUGAUAUCUGUUGUUUUUGUUUUCUGAACGAAUUGGAUGAUCUAUUUUUUUCCCAAAGGAAUAUUGAGAGGCUAGGAGUUCCGAUUAGUGGAAUCCGACUAGUGGAUUAUUCUUUAACCGCUCUUUUUUUUUAUUUUCUUGCGAUCUAUCAGAGGCCUUCACAAUUUUGCCGGAUUAAGGCUAUUUGCGACAGAUUUUAUAUGUACUUACGAAGCGGUAGGUGAGGCUGUGGUGUUUGUGUGGGUAUUAUCCUAAUGGAACCCCCGCGGAGUCUGUGAUGCAAUUUGUGAAGGUUGCUCUGGUUUUCCGAAAUGAUCUGAACAAGGGAUGUGUCCUGUUUGUUCUGGUUUAGUUGGCCUUCGUUACGUUCAAUUUUUAUUUGUUGCAUUUAUUUCCACCAGUUGGUUAUGUUUGUUUGUUUUUAUUUUUUGUGUGCAAGGGAAAGCGUCUGGAUAUGAUAUUUGAAAGAGAGAGGUGAGUGUUUUUCUACCUUGUUAUGAUAUUUGGUUUGAGAUAUGCGCUAACCGUAUCAGCAUCAAUGCUGUGUCUUUUGGAUACUCUAGUUGGAUUUAGACGGGUCUCAGGGAAGAGUUCCAUCAUCUUCUCAUUUAUUGAGGUUGCCUGUUAAAUUGUUGAUUAUUUUUCCUGUCCUCCUUCUGUCAGCAUUUUAUAUAUAUUGAAGUUAAGUCUAUCUCUUUAUUUUCUGAAUGUUCUAUUCCUAGUGUUUUUGUGGGCAGUUGCAGAAGCAUCAUCGUUAGGCAUGAUUCUAUUAAAUAGAGAUGGUAACUCCUUUGUUGGAUUGUUUUUGGUAUGAGACCUAGGAUUUUACAUUUUUGAUAAGGCUAGUUUCUGUGGCAGAUUCUAUAUGUAUCAUCGAUGCUGUUGGUGGGGCUAUGGUGUUUUUGUAGUUAUUAUCUGUAUGGAGCCACACGUAGCUGUGAUGCAGUUUGCAAAGGAUGCUCCAAUUAAGGAUGCUCUGGUUUUUGUUGAAUGAUUUAAAUAGGUUUUCCAUUGGAUAGUGUUAUAUUUAAGGGGUUUCAUUGUUGUGACAUAUGUCGCUUAUUAUGAUGGAUCCAGGGCUUCCGAAAUUAUCUGAACAGUGGAUGUGUCCGGUUUGUGCUAGUUUAGUCAGCCCUUGUUACUUUCAAACAUUAAUUGUUGCCCUUACGUGCACAAGUUGGUCAUUUGAUACGGUUCUCAUCAAAGUAUGGUUGUUUGUUUUUAUUUGUUGUCUGCUAGGGGAAGCUGAUGGACAUCUAGUUUUGCAUGGGCAUGGGACAUUUUUUUGAAAGUGACAUCUAGUAUUUGGUUUCGAUAUGUUCUUACUCUAUCAUCAUUCAUGGAAGAGGUUCCUUUCACUUUUCAUUGGCUAUUUAAUUGUUGAUUGUCUGUCUACUUAUUCCAUUGGCUUGCUUCGUACAUUUUAUAAAUUUGCACUUUUGAAGUCAGUCUUUCUCUUUGUUUUCUGAAUGUUCUAUUUGUAGGGUUUUUGUGUGCAGUUGCAGAAGCAUCAGUAUCAGCAUUAGCCAUAAGCCUGGUUAUUAGGAUUAGGACCUUUCUUGGAUAGAAUUUUUGGUACGAGACAUACGUUUUGCCUGUUUUAAAAGGAUAGUUUAGAUUUAGGUGUUUAAUUUAUGCACGUUUGUGAUAUUAAGUUUUUGUCCAAUUGUUAAUUGUUCUUGUUGUUGUGAUUUUUUAGCUGUUACUUGCUUGGCAAGUCUUUUUGGUCAUACUAAUGUCUCAUUUGUCUCUUCUUGGAUUCUGUCAGAUUUCUAUUUUGCAGCUUAAUUAUCUUUUUUGUUUUAACCUGCCUCUGGUCAUCUGAUGUUUGGUUUCAGUUAGCUUGUAGAUGUUUUUUUAGUAUGACAUUUAAUCAUUUUUUGCUUUGAGUAAAUAACUUUGAUUGGUCUUUACUUUGAUUGGCUCAUGUUCUAUUGUUUUUUAUUCUACUUUAUCUCUUAUUAGUUGGCAUUUUUUAAGUUCUCUGUACAAUUUAUAGUUUUUUGUUCCAUGUAAACUUUUUUGUCCUUGUGUGUUUCUAGUGUAACUUUUGACAGGUGUCUUUUAUGUUGCCCUAUAAUGCUGAUGUGGCCUCAUAUGAGAGAUUAUUUUACCUUAAACAAUUCAUCAUGUUGUUUGUUUGCAGGAUUUAAAUAGGGUAUAUGGAAGGUUAUUUUGUUUGCCUAUUUGGUUUAUUACAUCCAGUUGUAUUCUUGGCUGCUCUUUCCAGAUGAAAUUUGGAUUUUCUGUCCUGGUUUUCUACAAUUAGUUAUUUCGUUUGGUAGCAGGAUUUUAUUUUGGAGUUAAUACAUUUCUAAAUUGGGUUAAUUACAUCCUUUGGUGUUCUUGGCUAGUUGUAUUAGAGGAAGUCAGCUAAUUUUGUUGAAUAACUUGAAUUCUGUAGUCAUUGUUUCCAUUGGCAUCAUUGCUGUUCAUUUAUUGCCAAAAUGCAGUCCAACAGUGCAAAGUUGUUACAUUUGAAAGGUCAUUAUUUUCACCGACUUUUUGAUCCUUUGGCUUAUAAAAGUUCUCUGCUGCAUUUCUCUUCCUCUUAAUUAACUUCCUUAUCUCUUUUGAAUCUUGUUUCCUUUAUCUUGUGUGGAAGUUAGGACAUGGUAAUGAUUUUACGUACAGGUACUUGUGCUAUUAAGGUGUCUUUGUUGGUGAUCUUGGGUUAUGAUAAUUGUACUUCAUAUCGAUUUUUGAAUCAAUUCAAUAGCACAAUUGAUGGCUUCAAAAACAAGUGGGUUUUAAGGUGCAUUGUUACUUUUUUCUUGUAUCAAGUUGGAGGGAGGUACAGGCAUGCUGUGUUCUCUUGUUUUUCCUUGAAAUUCAUUUUAUAUUGCUGAUUUUUAUUAGAAGUGGUAAGUUAACUUCUCAGGCUGAUGUACUUUUGGCUGCUCAUUUUAUGUGUUGUUUGUCUACUUGAAGUUUGUUUUGGGAGUUGGGUUUCACGUUAAGAAAGCUGGGUUUCUCUUCAUUAUGGAGCCUUCACAUUAUAAACAAAGGAGUCCAAUUUUCAUCAAGGAAUCUUCUUGUGGGGACCCAAUUACUAAUUGAAUAUAUUUCCUUUAUGAAGAUUCUGCAACCAUAGCUGAUACAAACAAGUUUUCAAGAUUGUUGUUUUUGGUUUGCAUGAUGAAGAGAAUAGAAGUUCUAACCUAUACUCUUGGUGAUGUGAACAAUGUAGUUGGAACAUCUACGGAAAGCCUAGCAUGAUUAAACAGAAAUUCAUGGGAAAGACUUUAUUGGCUUUUAACUGGUUUUCCCAGGAUUAACAUUAGAUUGAAAAGCUUGGAACUGACAUUUGAAUUGAUCCGCUAGUACCUGUUGCUGUUGCCCAUGAUGUUUGCAAGUUUUGGUUGGAUUUUGUUCUUUUCCUGUGUGUACAAGUUUUGGUUGUGUUUGGUUGAAAGGGGGCGGUGCAUUUGGAUUGAGAUUAGCAAAUUGAAAAGAUUGGAAAAUGACUUUUGAUUGAGAUUAGGGCAUUGAGAAGGUUGGAAAAUGAUUUUUUAGUUGAUUUGCAAGUCUCAGUAUCUAUUACCGGUGAUGUUCUGCAAUUUAUGGAUGGAUUUUGUUUUAUUUUCCCGUGCCUACAUAUUUGUAUGUUCCAAAGAACUUUGGAAGUUCUGUUUUUGGUUGAAAACAUGGUGCAAUGGGAUGUUGUUUACGCAAAUUGGUUGUACCAAAAAUUAUUGUGUAGUACUCAGAUUUUGUCAUAAGUCAUCAGAUCAAGGUUUUUGAUAUGGUUGAAUCAUGUAGGUGGCAAGUUGCUUGUUUUGAGCUUCCAAUGGUGAUGGUGGCUGGCGUUGGUAAGCUGGCCAGAGACUUCUUUCAAGUUAGUUCAUCCAUGAAUUGACAUUGUAUCCAUUGAUUUAAUUCAUGAUUGUUUGUAAGAAAAAUUUUCAUGUUCGAUGUGUUGGUAAUUAUACUUCUACUGAGAAGUUUAUAUAAUAUUAUUUGGUAGCUUACAAGUUUUGUUUUUUGUCUGAUUCUGGUAGUGUUUUGUCAGUUAUUGGGUAGCAUGAUGUUGGUUGGGGGUGACUAUUUGUGUCUCGGAUUUGUAUGUCUUAGGUUUUUCUCUUGAACAGGAGUCUUUGACUAGGCAUAUCUUUGAUGAGGCAUAUCUGCCAUGUUCAUGUAGUUUUGUUUGCUCAAAACUUGCUUUUUUGUGACUUGCAAUUGUAUGACCCUUUUUUUGAUAUUGUUAUGCUUCCAUGCUUUACAUUAUGUUUUUUAGUUGGCAUCUGUGUGUAUUCUUGGAUUUUUCAUGACUAAAUGACUGUUCAUCACCAAUUUUUGAGUGUUCGUCAUGAGGGGAAUUGGUCCUCAGUUUUCUUCGUUGGUGAGGUGUUUAUGAAUCUUAAUUUUGUUUAUUAGGAAUUUCGGAGCAUCUAAUUUUGGUUGUGUUUAUUUAUUCAAUUGUGAAUUUUUGUAUUACAUUAUUGUUUCAUGAUUAUCUUCUAUAUUGUUUGUUGAUAUUUCAAAACUAUUCCAGUAGUCUAGUUUUUUUAGUAAUUUGCUAGGUUUAGAUAGUAAGCUGAGUUGGAAAAUGAUAAGUGGAAGGUGUUCAUAAUUGUCUUCAGGUAACAAUAAAAUAUUAUUUUGUAAAAAAUAUAACUAUUGGGAAAUAAGCAUAUGAUUGUUUGCAAGCAUGUUUGGAAACAUGUGAAGACAAAAUUUGAAGCUUGAAGAAUAUGAGAAAAGGGUUAUAUAUCUUGAAAUUAAAGAGCAUGUGUUUAUCAUUUUUGAUGUCUACACAUAAAUCAAAGUUGCUUAAUGGUUCUUGGGUGGACGGGUACUUAUCCCUUGUGAAUUUGCUUGGACUGUUUACGAGGAUGUUAUGAUACUUGUGAGACUUUUUACUUGCUGUGGCAUCUUUGAGUUAUUUUGGAGCUUAUUCAGUAUGGUGCCAAUUCCUGUUCAAUUAUGUUUGUUUUUUUUAAUUAUUACAUUUUCCAUGCUUUUACGACUAAUUUACUGUGUUGAAUGUAUUUCCUGUUCAAUCAUGUUUGGUAUUUUCUUUGACUACAUUUUCCAAGUUACUAUGAUUAUUAGAUUACAUUUUCUUUGACUACAUUUUCUUUGUCGAUUAUGCAAUUUGAUUAUUAGAAAUUUGAUUUUGUUGUUCAUAUAGGUUGUAGCAUAUUUUGCAAUUAGUAUGAGAUUUGCAUUGAUUAUGAAUGUCAUCGUUUAUCAAACAGAUGGGUUUUCUGUUUAGAAUUUAAAAUUAAAUACAAAAACAAACAAUAAUAGAAAUAAGACUGGUAAAUUGGACAUUGCAAUAACCACUUUACUAUCAUUGUUGUUUUCCAAGCGUAGCUAAGAAGACUAUAAAGUUGGAUAUUAUGUGAUGUUCAUUGCUGGAUAGGUAUUCUCCAGGGAGGUUGAUCAACUUCUCCUUUUGUCAACAUUUGGUGAUUGCAUUGGACUUCUACUUUACUGCUUGAUUGUUUUAUCUAAUUCUAUUUAUGUAUUCACAUUUUUCUUCUCCUUUUUCCCUAGUUGUCUUUAUUUUUUCUGGUGGUUGGUAAAUUUUCUAUUGUUAAUCUUAACAUCUAUAAUGGUAUUCAAUUGGAAAAUAUGUUGGGCAUAUGAUAGCUGUUGGCUUGAGAAUUAUGGGCAUUAUCUUUUUCCAUGUGAUAGCUGUUGGCUUUGUAGUUAUCUAUUGGUUCAUGUUGUGAGAAGUCUGCUUCUUGUUUUGCUGUUCUGUUGUGACAUUGUAGUUCCAUAAGCAUUGUUCCAUCACCAGGUGCAGUCUGGUUUUGCAUAUAUAAGAGAGAUGAUUACAUCUAUCUUGACUCUCUCCAGAUAGAUUAUAUAAAGCCUGGUGACUGAUACAUCUGCUGUGUUAUUCUCUACAUAAUACGCCUGGUCUCUUUAUGUAUUCAUUUGUUGUCUUUCAGAUCUUCUGAACAUCGAUCUCCUCCUUGAAUUUUUGUUGUGGCAUCCAAUAGAUUUUUUAUUUCUGAAAUUUUGGGGUGUCUUAGCUUCUGAACCUUAAUUUUGUGUUUUUAAUGUGAUCUAUCAUGAUCAUGGGGUCAUCAAAAUGUCUGUUUUUGUUGGAACUUUCUGUGAUAUACUGAUAAUGAAAAUGGUACAUUCUCUGUUCUAAUGAGUUCAUUACAUCCAUUGUUAUUUUUCACUUGGCUAUUGAAGAGCCUAUAGUUUUUAUGUCCUGGUUUUGGUGUUUUGGUUUUGGUUAAUUUUUCAGAAUUUCAUUUUUUUUUCCUCUUGACAUUGCAUUGGGUGGUACAAAUUAUUUUGUGCUUCAUCUUUGUGAACCAUUGAUAUCAGAAUUUCUCUGUGGUCUCUUUCCCUUUAUUCAGGUUUUGCUUUUCUUUUCUUUGAGAUGCAUCCCUGUUUCUCUUAUUCUAUGCUUCAUUUAUUGUUCAAGAAGCUAGGAUGGGACUAACAGUGACUGCAGUAAACCAUGGUUGGUUAUCUCGAGCAAUAAUGGUAUGUAAUUUUGACAGUCUGUUAAAUAUUCAUCAGUAGGGUCACUCGGCGAACUGGGUUUUCAUUUUUAUUAUAUUUUGUAGUUGCAGCAAUCUGUAAGUCAUUAUAUUUUGGUUUCUGAAAGUUUGGGAUGUCUUAGUUUCUGAAAGUAGGUCAUCAAAAUGUGUGAUUGUAGGAAUAGAUCAUAAAAGUGUCUGUGUUUGUAGGAAUUCUGUGAUGUAAUGAUAAUGUAAGCUUUAUGUUCUCUGUUCUGGUGAGUUCAUUUACAUCCAUUCUUCUUCACUCGACUGUCAAAGAACCUAUAGAUUAAUUUUCACAAUAUCCUUUUUUUUUCUUUUAAAUAGAUUUUAAUUGUACAUUGCCUUCAAUUCUAUAUCACAAUUUUUGUUGUUACUUUAUGGACAUUGUAUUAGGUGGUACAAAUUAUGUUGCACUUCAUCAUUGUGAACCAUUGGUACUAAAUCUCUCUGCUGCUCUCUUUCCACUUGUUCAGCUUUUGCUCGUCUCUUUUUCUAAACAUGUGCUUGAUUCUCUUCUAUGCUUUAUCUAUUGUUCAGAAGUUAGGACAAGGCUAACAGUGAAUGUGGUAUGUAAUUUUCACUUGUUUGGAUGGUCUGUUAAAUAUUCAUUAAUUGGGUCAUUUGGCAAACAGGUUUUUGAUUUCUGUAAUAUUUUGAAGCGGCAGCAUGUUAGUCAUGUUCGAGUCUAAGGAUGUUUAGAUGUACUCUAUAUAUGAAGUUUUUUCUUUUGCAUUAUUUCUGAAUUUUUUUUUUUAUUCCUAUAUGCAUCUAUCUCAUGUUAGUUCGUUUGGUUUUGUAUCUUGAUUAUGUUAUGAACUAUUUCAAUAUGGUUAAAGAGAUCGUACCGGUCCGUAUCGGUAUACUAACUAGUUGUUGGUAUGGUACGUAUCGAGUUGUACCAAAUGUACCGACACAUGGUAUAUUGAUAUUGAUAUACUACCCAUACUGGUCCCUUGUGGGACUGGUACGUACCACUCAUACCGGUACUCUGUGGUACAACGAACCUUGAGUGUAAGAGUUGUAAAUGAGUUCAAUAUCUCCUACUGACAUCCACACAGUUAUAGUUGCCUUAUUUUUGCUUUGUGUUUUUUGUAUGUUCGGUAAAUUAAUAAUUUGUUUGUUUAAUGUUUUCUGUUUGGCAUUUGUAUUGUCACAAAAGAUGCUUCCUCUCGAGUAUUUUCAACAAAAAAGAAACCAUGCCCAUUGGUGAACAUUUUGUAGGCAGCAUUCUAGUGCAUGUUAAGGAACAUCAUCAUGUUAAUUAUAAGCUUCUCUGAGAGCAGCUGUAGGAAAAACUUGGAUUUUGUUCUUUACUGGCAGGGCUUAUGAAUGAUACUGGUGUUUUGAGUUUGAGACUUAAAUAAGCCCUACUUGUAUUUAUUGUUGCUGUAAUUAACUUACUCUAGGAGCUGUUCUGGUUAUGCAAGCCACACAUUAAUAUGAGCAAAUACAUCAGAAUUUCUAAAUUGGAUACUGGUGAACCUACAUGGUACAUGGAUAUAGACUCGGGUAUUCAUGUUAUUGUCUAUCUUAUAGCUUGAGCUAAUCAGCUGUAAGUGUUCAUUUUUCAGUAAUGUGGAAAAGAAGUUUCAGGAGUCCCCACAAAAUUAAAUGUUUCAGUGGCAUCAAUGUUAUACAAACUCCCUAUACAAAAUUCUUGUAAAAACUUCAUUGGUGAAGAACCUCAUCGGUUGUUUACCUUGAUUUAUUCAAGGUUGUGGAAGGCAUUAACAAUCUUUUUGUAGUUGAAAGCUUUUUUGUGGUUCAUCAAUAUGUUGGGAUUUGUUUAUUGUCUUCUUAGAACUCUGACGUGUAUAUUCCUUUUAUAUUAGACAUCAAAGAAAUUUUUAUUUUUUAUCUGUUGUUAGUUGUAAUUUUUACUAGGAUGUUUUUUGAUUGUGAUGUCAAAUGAGUGCUUUUAAGUGAUUUAAAGGUAGCACAGUUGUGGUGUUAGAACACUGUUUUAGUGAUCAUUCAAGUAUUUAGACAUUAUUUUAAGCACUAUGUAGCCUUGUUUGGGUAACUACCUUUUUAUGUAGUGUAACUACCUUUUUAAGCACUAUAUACUGUGUAUAUGUAUGUGUACUUGUUGUGAGUAUCAAAACAACGGGCGUUACACAUUACAAGUCCUCUUCCCUUUCCUUUUAUUUGCAUCAGACUUUAGAUGUUUAGUUGUUUUGUGAUUAUAUGUGAAUUUUUUGCAUGUCUUGCGCAACUGAUGUGUGUUCUGUGUCUUGCAAUGUCUAUAAUUCCUUGUACAAGACCAUACUGGAAAGACAUGAGAAUGUCUUGGUCGUUGCAUUUGGUAAUGUGUAUUUAUGCUAGAUUUAUUUUUGACUCAAUAGAUUAGCAAUAAAUUUAUAUGUUAUAUUUAUAUGUCCUUGUUCAUGUCUAGUGAAUUCAUCAUGGAAAUUUAUUAUUGCUUAGAAAUUGUGAUUGUUCUGUUUUCUGAAUAUUUAUCAUGUACUUUAUAUGUAUGUUAUAUUUAUGCAGCUUUUGAUCCGUUUUCAUCCCUUCUUUCUGACUUGUUAUCCAUUCCAUGUUAAACUGACAGAAACUGUCACAAUGUUGUAUAAUGAUGUCAUUUUAUUCCCCUUCAAUAGUAUUUGAAUUGCCUUGCUGUCCAUUCCAACCAAAGAAUUGUAUCUCAACUAUCAGACGUAUACUAGUUUAGGUCUAAGAAUAAUAUUAAGUAUUAGACCUAUAUCUGUUUAGUCCCACAUUGGUAUGGGUCUAAACCAUAUUGGCGGGGAAGGGUGUGGGCGAGGCAUCACACAGAGGCACGAGGCCUUGCAGUGGGAGCAUACAGCAAAGGCGACGGACGGGCGAAGAGUAGAAUUACAACAAUUUAGGGGUACUAUUUGGGUAAAAAGAAGAAGGCAUCAACAAUAUGUUUAUGAGCUCUUAUGCAAGAGCCAUGGGAUAAAAGCACCACCUUGUUGUUCCAGCUGUUUUGUGUUUCCUGAUAUUACUAAACUACUUAGUUGAUUUUUCUUCUUUCAUGUUGUUAGGGUUCUCUGGUAUCAUCGAUUGAGAUGUGGUCUAAGCAUCCUUUAGUAGUUUUAUUAUUGUUAUAAAAUUCUAUUUUUUUAUGAACCUAGAAGGUCAGGCAGAGAACUAUGUCAAUAAUGAUAGCUGCAAGAAAGGGUUGGUGUUUGCUAAUAUUUAGAUCUGGGCUGUUGGUUGUCAUUGUGUUUGAAACAUUAAUUAUAGAAGGAAAGCGGAAUUUGGGUUUCUUAGUUUCUUUAGUUGAUUCUUGGUCUGCUCAGGAUGAGUUCUAGUUUCUUCAGUUGAUUCUUAGUCUGCUCAGGAUGAGUUCUAGUUUCUUUUAUCGGUUCUUAUUCUGCACCAGAGUAGUAUAUGAUGUAUUAUUGGGAGUCCUGACAUGAUAGUCAGUUUCAAUGAGUUCAGCUUGUUGGUUCAUCAAUUUCAUACAUGAAAUGGUUCUGGAUUUUGGAUCCGCAUUUUGUGUGUCAUGAGCAAGCUCUGGUUAUUCUAAUUGAUUAGGUUUUUAAUGUGCUGAUACUCUUCUCCAAGGGAACCAUACUCUUAUCAUUCUUUUUGUGUUUAGGAGGAAAGCCAAUUAUCAUUCUUUUUGCACCCUCAAAAAAGUUUUUCAUGUUUGGGCUUUUGAAGUUGAUCUUGUGAUUGCUUGACAACCAUCAGUAUCUUGCAGUAUGGAUUAGCUUAUGUGUAAGGUUCAGAUAGAUGGUGCAGGUUUUAUUAUGUAAAGAAAUAGAACACUUCGUCUAGCCUUGGUUUCAUUAUUAUUAUUCUAUUUCCAUUUCCUUGCUUGGUUGGCAACAUGAGCAUUGAUAUUUGUAGUGGAUCAUGUAAAUGUGAAGCUUGUUAUAUUGGGUUGAAGCUGCUAAUAACUGGAUUGAUGGUUCUUUGUUUGGUUGAUUGGCUGACUGAUCAUCCCAAUGGCACUGGACUAGUUGAUUCAAUUUGUUGGGACUGACUGAUGGUUGUCAUCAAGUUAUUAGUUGGGACUGAUCUUUGAAUAAUGCUGCAGCAUGAGGCCGAUUAUAGUUUAUAGUUUUGACUGGCCAUCAGAUAAUGGCACUGGAACAGUUCAUUGGAUAUGGAAUAGUGGUGCAGGUUUUAGGUUGUCGUAGGGUUCAGUUUGACCGGGCUUUGCUAAUCAUGUGUGUUUGUUCUUAUUUCAAUGUUUUUUAUAGUUUGUCUCAGGUAUGUUUCAGCGGUGUUGGAUGGUUUUGUCUAGUUUGUUUGUUGCGUAAUAACGUGUGAUCAUAGUUUUUUUUUCAUAUAAAUAUAAAUUUAGUGGAAUUUACUA